GACGAACGCUGGCGGCGUGCCUAAUACAUGCAAGUAGAACGCACAGGAUGCACCGUAGUUUACUACACCGUAUUCUGUGAGUUGCGAACGGGUGAGUAACGCGUAGGUAACCUGCCUGGUAGCGGGGGAUAACUAUUGGAAACGAUAGCUAAUACCGCAUAAGAACAUUUACUGCAUGGUAGAUGUUUAAAAGGUGCAAAUGCAUCACUACCAGAUGGACCUGCGUUGUAUUAGCUAGUAGGUGAGGUAACGGCUCACCUAGGCGACGAUACAUAGCCGACCUGAGAGGGUGAUCGGCCACACUGGGACUGAGACACGGCCCAGACUCCUACGGGAGGCAGCAGUAGGGAAUCUUCGGCAAUGGGGGGAACCCUGACCGAGCAACGCCGCGUGAGUGAAGAAGGUUUUCGGAUCGUAAAGCUCUGUUGUUAAGGAAGAACGAGUGUGAGAAUGGAAAGUUCAUAGCUGUGACGUACUAACC
This 481-nucleotide ribosomal RNA is filed under the name Streptococcus intermedius. Its description in RNAcentral is "bacterial SSU rRNA". It matches the Rfam family "Bacterial small subunit ribosomal RNA", at positions 28 to 483 of the family's 1533-position model. The record is from RNAcentral. Lineage: Bacteria; Bacillati; Bacillota; Bacilli; Lactobacillales; Streptococcaceae.